GUGAUUAGCUCAGCUGGGAGAGCACCUCCCUUACAAGGAGGGGGUCGGCGGUUCGAACCCGUCAUCAC
This 68-nucleotide transfer RNA is filed under the name Escherichia coli. RNAcentral's name for it is "tRNA-Val". It matches the Rfam family "tRNA". From Rfam's summary of the family: Transfer RNA (tRNA) molecules are approximately 80 nucleotides in length. Their secondary structure includes four short double-helical elements and three loops (D, anti-codon, and T loops). The record is from RNAcentral. Lineage: Bacteria; Pseudomonadati; Pseudomonadota; Gammaproteobacteria; Enterobacterales; Enterobacteriaceae.